This is a long non-coding RNA of Canis lupus familiaris (dog), 5449 nucleotides long. RefSeq lists it as uncharacterized. NCBI's taxonomy places the organism in Eukaryota, Metazoa, Chordata, Mammalia, Carnivora, Canidae. The transcript has 3 exons. The record is from RefSeq and is a predicted model, not a curated record.
UGGGCGCGGUGGACGCCGCCAACUGCUGGCGGUGCGCACAAGUUCAGCGCUCAACUUCCCGCUCUUAACGAGACCAGGGAUCCCUUUGGAGAGGCCCUCGGGAGCCGGCGGCGGGGCUGGGAGUGGCGUGGGCUUCAGACCGCUUAGCUGGAACCGGGUCGGAUCGACAGCAAACCAUCGCAAAAGGCGCUAACGACGCUUUUGGUUCCUUCCCACCCAUCACUUUCUUUAUGUCGUUGGCAAUUCUUACCGAUUCGGAAAGAAAUAUGCUGCCAAAUAAUUGCUGGAAUGUAAACAAACUACCACGACCAACAGCCACAAUCGCCCGUCACAGGAGAGCAAAGAGCUGCCCAGUACCACGGCGCAAGCUUUUCAGCUGCUCCUGAGACUUUAAUUAAAGCAGGACAUCAGCUACUCACCCACUGGAUUUCUUCAGGACCUUCCACCUUGGGCAGCAUCAAGCUAGAUGGAAGAACCCGGGACUGCAGAAGGGUCUCCAGGUCCUCUUCGGCUAGACCACUGGAUACCGAGUUGACUCUCACACACGUUUCAGUUGGGCCCAGGUCAAAGUCUUCAAGAGUUUCUACUAUCCUCAGCCUAGCGUCAUUCUGUCAGUGACAAUAAAAUGUAUCUCCUAAGGUUAUUUAUCAUUGAGGGGAUAUGUUAUGUGGAUUCAGAUUCUGAGCACCAAGACUAUAUCUACACAUUUCCUGUCCAGCAGAUAGAUGGUAUUUGAAAUAAGUUGUCCAAUCUGAUAGACAAGUGAUUGAUUUCCAGAUUUCAUUCAAGAUAACAGAGAUGACAGCAACCAUAAUGCAUACUGGUGCAUUUCCAAAUAGUUCUGUGCUCUCACCCAUUAGCACUGUUUUUCAACUACAAAGGUAAAAUAACUGAUAGGUAACAUUACUUACUUAUUUUUUUAAACGAUUUUAUUUAUUUAUUCAUGAGAGACACACAGAGAGAGGCAGAGACAUAGGCAGAGGGAGAAGCAGGCUCCCUGCAGGGGGAGCUUGAUGCGGGGCUCAAUCCAGGACUGUGGGAUCACGAUCUGAGCCAAAGGCAGAUGCUCAACCACUGAGCCACCCAGGUGCCCUAGGUAACGUUUAUUGAGCAUUUAUUAAGCUCUAAGCAUGGUUCUAAGUCCUCUACCUGCAUUUUCUCAUUUCAUAAACAUAAGGAACUACAUAACAUGUGGAUAAUGGUAGUCUCGUCUGUCAGCAUAUUCACAUUAGGGAAAAAAUAAGGAUUUGUUUUUCUCUUUCCAUAUGUGUCAUGUUUUUUAGUCACUUAAAAUAUUUUUGCUACUGAGUUGAAUUUUGACAUUCAAUUAAGCCGCUCACAGGAAAAUGACACUCCAUAGUACAAAAAAACUCCAAUUUAUUCAGAUGGAAGGUAAUAACACCACCAAGAAAUCUCUUCAUGAAGUGGAGGACAAAUACAUUUUUUUCCCCUUGGAUUUGACAGUCUGUGCUCCAUAGUUAAGAAAAGCUGAAAGGUUGAAAGCCUGCUUCAGUAUAUGAACUAUCCCUAGAAAAAUUGUAUGAAACCAAACAUGUUAUUUAUUGGCUCUGAGUUGGAGUGUUGAAGGUGGGGUAGGGGGUGGGAAGAGAAAGGACACUGAGGAGCUGGGGGUUGGAGUCAAGAGAAAGAAAGCACUUGCGGUCAUUACUUCCUGCCAAUUUCAGUUUCAAAAACAAAUUCCUUCAACUUGCCAAAAGCCCUCAACAAAUUCUCAUUGUCAGAAUGAACACUUAUCAAAAGUAGUUUCAUUUGGGAAGGGUUUUUAUGAUACUAAUAAAACUUUAAAGCUUCUUACUGCUGACGAAUGUGGUUUAAAAAAAAAAGCCUGAACAAUAUACAGCCAUUUGAACAACAAUACUUAUCUGGGAAAUAGCAAGCCAAAGUGGAGACAAAAAGAGAAUUAUUAGAGCCGAUAUUGGGUCUAAGUCUAAUCAACAAGACAAGCCAGGACAGUAGAUUUAAAGCAGACGGAUGUAGGUCUACGACCGAGUGGAAACGGGGAAGGCUUCCAAAUGUGGUCUGAGUUAAACAGUGUGAGGAAACAGUGGCUUAGAGUUGUCAGGUCAGAUGGAAACAGAAUACGUAGACCAGUUUAAGACAGCCCUGUGGAGCCCUGAUUUACAGAACUCUGACUGCAGAUAAUUAGGCCAAGCUUAGACAAAAGCAAGAAAGAGCGCACACUAGCUUCUAAAGUGAAGGGCGAUGUGGCCAGCAGUGGCUUGAUUCCACAUCAUGCCGUUGGCUAUUCCACAGCUAUAAAACUCAUCUGCUUGCUCUACCAUGCCUUCUUGUUAUAUUCACUAAAGAGGAAAAUCCUGAAGGUGAAGGGUGGAAGUGAGCUCAGUAUCAUGGUUCCAAGAACAUCUAGAACUGUGGAGAGAAUGCCUUCAGCUCUGGCAGUGCAGGUAUUUAGAUCCAUGGCCUCCGAGAACCUAAAAUGUGUUAUGCUCUGUGUAGCCCGCACAAGCUACAAACUCAGGAUUGCUCCAACUUGUAAAUAUUUCAGUUUCCAGGAUUUCUUUUGAUAGCAGGUUGGGCUUGUCAAAGGGUCUCCUGGGACAAAGUAAAUAGAAAAUGGAAGGGAACUAAACUAGAUCAUUUAGCCUGAAAUGCAUUUUAAAACUUGGGUUACUCGAAUCAUCAUAUACGCUCUACUUUAAUCAUCCCGUGUGCUCGAGGUAUAGGAUCCCUGGCAAAGUCAACUUCCUAAAUUGUUCAUGUCGGUGUCAAACAAAAUCUGACCUCUAAGCUGUUUUGUUAUUUCAUUUGGAUUAGAAAGGGGCUGUUUGUUCAAAGCUCAUGUUCUAAACCUGUUUGUGAUUUUUAUCUAAAGUCAGAUUGCCAUGGUUUCAGCACAUUCCGGUUUACUUAGUAAAAUUCAACCUUUGUGAAAUUGGCUGCAAAUGAAGUACCUAAUUCCAAUUUUAGGCAUAAUCUGAUUAGUACUUUUCGUGUUAUAAUAAUGAAUAGUGAAUACUCAGCAUUUUGUUAGGCUUUUUUUUUUUCUCAGAAUUAAAACAAGCUCUUUCCACUUCAUCAUUCUGUACCUUUCCAAAAAAAGAUGAUGGCUUUGGAGGUAUAUUGCCACACAACACCCUUAUUAACAGGCUGCUGCUUGUUGCAAUUUACAUAAACUAAGUGUGCAUCCCUCUGCUAUGUAUCCCAAAAUAUCCAACAACUUCACUGAAUUUACACCAACCAACAAGUAUGUUGAUUUUUUUUUUCUUUUUAGUGCUUUAAUGGUGAAAUAUGUUACUGUGCUAGCAAACACACCCAUGCCAUCUGUUGGGUGAGAGGAAGGCAGUUUCUAAGAACAAUUAGGUUUAGUUCUGGGUGCUCAGCUAGAGAGAGCCACAGUCCACCCAGUUGUGAAAUGAAAGAAAUUCUGUUCAUUCUGAUCUCUCCCUCCUUCCCUCUCUCCCUCCCUGUCCCUUCUUCCUCUCUCCCUGAUACCAAUCUCUCUCUCUCACAGCUCUCUCCUUUGCAUCACCAUACUCCCUUCUCUCUCUCCCUCCCUCUCUCUCUCUCUCUCUCUCUCUCUCUCUCUGGCUCCUGUUUGGCCCUGACUAUCCUUCCAAUUUUUAUCUCAUUCGGGGGAUCCAUAAGACACAGCUUGGCAGACAACUCCUUCUCUGAAGGGCUAUAUAUGAUCUGCUGAGAUUAUUGGGAGGUAAUGUUUCCUGGCAAAAGAAGGAAGAGGAAAUCAAAGCAAAAAGAGGCCACUCAAAAAAAGACCUUUCUUGGGGGGCGGGGAGGGGGAGGAGUGUCUUAUAUUCUGAUGGCAAGACAGGUUGUUCAAAGUGAAGUUUAGAAGGAACUGCAUUCUAAAUGUGUUAACACUACAGAACGGCCUUGGUAAGCAUUUCUUAAUCUAUGAUGAAUUUGUCCCUCUAAAAUCUGUCAACCUGGAAAAAACAGAAUAAUGGCAUUAAGGCCUUUCUCAACAGUUCCAUUAGAUCUUUGCAGAGACUAAUUACUGAAGUAUGUUCUAUAGCAUGUCUGAUUCCAGAGGCGAACUUUGCAGAAGUCACAAAGAAAGUUGGCACGGAUCAGACUCUUCACCCGCCCUGUUCUAAAUGAAAAGUGGUGUCACCAAACUUCCCACAUUCAAUCGAUAUUUCGUGCCACGGACUGCUCAGUGCAGUGGACCAGUGGCUAAUAAACUUGUCCUUCUACAUAAGCCACCGUAUUAUGUGACUCUGUCUGGGCCAGGAACCAAGGCGUGCUAUGAUUUCAGAGACCCGGUUCUUAUCACCUGGGGAAGAGACAUGCUCCGGUGACGUAACAGAGCGGAUAAAUCAACCGUCGCCAAGACCUGCAGACUCCAAAAUUAAAGGAGAAAAUAUGCGUGCAGUUGGUUCAAUUGGCACCCAUUAAAGCUAAUAACUAAUCAUCCUCGCAAGUUUCUAGCUCAGAAUGAUCAAAUCUGCAAAGAAAACAACAUCCGUCCACUUUUACACUCCAGUGGAAGAGGUGGUCCCUCGCGGCAGGGCGGCACAGUCUCGCCAUCUGGAGAAUAAAUCGAGUGUGAAGUACAGUAUAGUUUGGGACCAAGCUCCGUGGCGGCAGCUCAGCAGUCAGUUCAUUAGUUCCCAACUUCCAGGGAUUAGAGCGGCAUCAAUUCUACUGUCGGAUAGGAAGAGACAGACAGGAUACAAGAUUCAAGGAGGAUUGUGACAACCAGGAGGAGCCCCUUGGGUUUAUUUAUAAAACUACAAAGUAUAAACAUACCCAAAUAAGUGCCUUAAAUAAUAGCAUUAUCACAGUUUCAUAACAUCUGAAUUAACACCUUUCCCUUCUUCCACCCCCCACUCAAACCUUGUAUGUUAAUGUAUAGUCCUUUUCAGGGGAAACCACAAGCUCGCCCUUGAUGCAACAGGAGCAGUGAGAAAGCCGAGCGGCCGAACCCAGAUUUGGUAAUUAAGAAAUAUGAAAGACUUUCUAGACUCCAGGGAGAUGCAUAAUCUUGGUGAUUUUUUUAAAAUGUGCAAUUAAUAUUUCAUCAUGCCAAAAGGCAAAUUGCCAUGCUACAUCCUCAAAAACACUAGUGAAUUCUAUCUUUUCUGAAUUUGCCCAUCUGAUUUCCAUUUUAUCUAAUUUGUAAAAUGAUGUCACACAGGCAUGGGGGUGCAACAAACUUUGGGCAGAUGGCCUUGCUAUCAGUAUCCAUGUGAAAUUUUUUAAACUUUGAGGUUGUUUGGUUUAAAAUACAAAACUUGGAGUGGACUUUUCCAUUGGAGGAGCUCGUUUUCCAUGUAACUUCUUUUAUAUAUUUAUGUUUUUAAAAAAGAAGUGCUUGUGACAUAAGAUAGGUCAUCACUUGUAAACUAUGUUACCGUAUUUUUCUCAUAAAAAUGUAUAUAAAUCCCAGAGACUGUUGUAGUGACUACAUUGGACAAAGGCUAAUAAAUUCCUCAUUAACUAACAA